GAUUAACGCUGGCGGCGUGCCUAACACAUGCAAGUCGAGCGGCAGCGAGUUUUACACUGAAUUCUGGAAGCUUCUAGUUGAAAGAGAAGAUUUAUUCAAGAAUUUUGUGUAAAAUGUCGGCGGGCGGCGGACGGCUGAGUAACGCGUGGGAGCGUACCCCAAAGUGAGGGAUAACGCAUCGAAAGGUGUGCUAAUACCGCAUAUGGUCUUCGGAUUAAAGCCUUCGGGCGCUUUGGGAACGGCCUGCGUAAGAUUAGAUAGUUGGUGGGGUAAUGGCCUACCAAGUCGACGAUCUUUAACUGGUUUGAGAGGAUGAUCAGUCAGACUGGAACUGAGACACGGUCCAGACUCCUACGGGAGGCAGCAGUGAGGAAUCUUCCACAAUGGGCGAAAGCCUGAUGGAGCAACGCCGCGUGCAGGAUGAAGGCCUUCGGGUUGUAAACUGCUUUUAUAAGUGAGGAUUAUGACAGUAACUUAUGAAUAAGGAUCGGCUAACUACGUG
Molecule: ribosomal RNA, 502 nt
Filed under: uncultured bacterium
Lineage: Bacteria
Description: partial 16S ribosomal RNA
Rfam family: Bacterial small subunit ribosomal RNA
Source: RNAcentral